UGUUUUUCCACCCAGAGCCUAACAUGCAAACUCUGAUCAAUGCAAUUAUAGCUCUUUGUAUCGUCUGUGCUGCUUUGGCUGCAAGUUUGACUGUUUCAGUCUAUCUCAUCUGGGCCAAUAAAAAGAAGGAUUCUCACAGUGAUGAAGAACCAGCCAGCAGUGAUCAGCAGGGUGAUGAAGCUUCAUUGACCUAUUCGGCACCAACCUUCAGCAGGAGAAAAGAUAAAGAAAGAGGAAACACACGCUUGGCUCAGAAAGAGACGCUCUACAGUGACGUGCGUUUUCACCACUGAACAAUUUACGCUCUCUUCAUGCUGAUCUGCUAAAUCAUGUUGAUGGGACAUUUAUAUUGGCAAAAUGUCUACUAAGUUACAACUGAGAUUCAUGCUUGAGUUCAAUUUACAUCAUUUUAAAUAUUUCAUUUGCGAAUUUCUGAUUCAGUAUAAAGUUCAAUUCCAGUCAUCAGUACUCAUAAGUAACUGCAUACGACUUGUAUUUAUGUCUGAAAUUAUAUUAUACCAAUGACAUUAAACUUUAGGGCGGCUGUGGUUCAGUGGGGAGAGCAGUCGUCUCUCAAUCGGAAGGUUGUCAGUUCAAUUCCUGUCUCCCCCUGUCUGCAUGUCGAAGUGUCCUUGGGCAAAACACUGAACCCUACAUUGCCCCCAGUGGAUGGACUGAGCGCCUUGCAUGGCAGCUGCCUCUGUGUGUGAGUGUGAAUGGGUGAAUGUGAUAUUGCAGUGUAAAGCGCUUUGGCCUCUGUCAGUGCAGGGUAAAAAGUGCUAUAUAAGUGUAGUCCAUUUAAUCUCAUUAUUUUCUCUUCAGUUGUUGUCAUCGUGUUGAUUCUGGUGUAUUUUUUCUUUUUUUUCAGAACACUGAAUCCACUGUCAGGUUUUAAUUUUGACUCUUAUUUUGCAUUACUGAUUUUUUUUUUUUGUUUUUUUCUUGAUGUGUAUGUGUUCUGAAGGUUUCUGCCUUUUUUAUUAUUCGA
This 988-nucleotide long non-coding RNA is filed under the name Salarias fasciatus (jewelled blenny). Its description in RNAcentral is "lncRNA (ENSSFAG00005021448.1)". Lineage: Eukaryota; Metazoa; Chordata; Actinopteri; Blenniiformes; Blenniidae. The record is from RNAcentral.